GGCCCUGUGGGGUAGUUUGGCAUCCUUCGACGUUCGGGACGUCGGUACUCAGGUUCAAAUCCUGGCUGGGCCACCA
RNAcentral lists this transfer RNA (76 nucleotides) under Methanobacteriota archaeon. Its description in RNAcentral is "Euryarchaeota archaeon tRNA-Pro". It matches the Rfam family "tRNA". Rfam says of the family: Transfer RNA (tRNA) molecules are approximately 80 nucleotides in length. Their secondary structure includes four short double-helical elements and three loops (D, anti-codon, and T loops). Further hydrogen bonds mediate the characteristic L-shaped molecular structure. tRNAs have two regions of fundamental functional importance: the anti-codon, which is responsible for specific mRNA codon recognition, and the 3' end, to which the tRNAs corresponding amino acid is attached (by aminoacyl-tRNA synthetases). tRNAs cope with the degeneracy of the genetic code in two manners: having more than one tRNA (with a specific anti-codon) for a particular amino acid; and 'wobble' base-pairing, i.e. permitting non-standard base-pairing at the 3rd anti-codon position. RNAcentral also lists the same sequence under 3 other names. The record is from RNAcentral. Lineage: Archaea; Methanobacteriati; Methanobacteriota.